This 28-nucleotide small RNA is filed under the name Bombyx mori (domestic silkworm). RNAcentral describes it as "ovarian small RNA-32172". Lineage: Eukaryota; Metazoa; Arthropoda; Insecta; Lepidoptera; Bombycidae. The record is from RNAcentral.
UGAGAUCCUUGACGGCCUUGGCGUGCAC